UAGUGCUUUACAUUAGUUUAUGUGCCUAUCACAGAUGAAACGCCAUUUCAUGGGAAAUCUCUCCCUCACGACCAAAGGAAAAACAGAUCUGGGAAGCCAAGCGCACACCGCCGGUUUGUCUCAGACUCCUGUGAGUUUCCUUAGCGGUGGCUCCGUUUGGAUAGCGUCGGUCUCCUCUGAGUGACGGCGAUGCUGGUUUUGUGGGGUUAGAGCUGUUGGGUUUUGUUCAUGAGUGAUGACGGCUAGGGUUUCCGCUGGUCAGAUCUUUGUUUCCGGGAGUGAGAGCAGGCGUAUCUCACUAAUCUACGACAUCUAACUCAGAUUUCAGUCGGGUCUUUAUCAUUUUGCUAUAUCCGGGUCAGUUCCUUGGAGGUGUUGAUGAGUUAGGCCACUGCAUGCAUCUCUCUAUUUAGAUCUACCAGUUGGUGUGGUUUUAGCCAUUGGUUUAAGGCUCUGGUAGGGAGUAGAGAGAAUGGGUCGCGGUCUUAUCAACUUUGAUCAUCAUUCCUCAGUGGCAGCGUGUUUCAGCUCUCGUGUCAUUGGAGUUUUUGCGGUAGGUUGUUAUUCACCUAUUUGGGCUUUAUGAGAUGCUGGAUGGAAGCAUAUCCUCUUUUUGAAUUCUCAUUGGUGUGGUGAGCGUAGUCAUCAUCCUCUGAAAAAAUAAAAGCUUUAGUAACUAGCCAAGACAGAGGAGAUUUCUAGGUAGUAGGUUUGGUCGGUGGGGAAAAAAUUGAACAAUUGUCUUGAUCUGAAUCCUGUGGUGGAUUUCCUCGGGGGAUUAUGCUCAGACCGGUCUGACUUUUUAUUUUGGGUUUUAAUAGAAAUGACAAUGCCUAACUAGUAGCAGAAAUGCAGUCUGGUUAAUGCAGAUCGCAGAAACUUUGACUCCAUUUGACUCAACCAGUAAUGACAGAAAUGACAAAGCCUAACUAGUAGCAGAAAUGACAAAGCCUAACUACUAGUUAAGCUUUCUCUCUCUCCUCUCUCCCAAGCGACCAAGCGAACAAGUAAACAACAAAUCUCCGCCACGUUUUGCUCCGGCGUACGGAGGCUUCGGACCCGCGUCCGGUGCACGUUAACUCCAACGCCGGAGGCUUGUCUCUAAUCCUUCUUCUACGAUUUCCCCUUUGUUCUUCCGUCGCUUCUUCAUCCCUUUCGCUUUGCUUGUGUUUUGUGUGUCUGAAGCUUUCCUGGAGGCAACUUCGCUGCAGAGAAGAUACGUGCUGGUGCGAGUCUUUUAGGCAUGAAGCUACGGCGCGUUGGGGUCUGGCGGUGCAGGCGGAGGAGUCGGCGUUUAGGGUUAUGGAGGUGAUACCUUUAGCUACUUCCAGAUUUGGUCGCCCGUGGAGGCGUACGGCUGGUUACUUUCUCAGAUCUGGUUCUCGAUCUACUCGAUUUGAGAUCCAUUGGUCUGAGGCGUAGCGGCGGUGAUGGAGGUUCCGUGCUCUACCCUCGGCGUCUUGGUUAGGGUAGGUUCUUCUUCGUCUCCGCCAUAGGUGUUUUGGAGCUCCGUUUAGCUCGAUUGCGGGUUUUAUCCAAAGGUGGUGGUGUGUGCCUCUACUUGCAGUGGUGGCUCGUGGAAAAACCUUUAGCGUGAUUUUGGUAUUGGUCGUCUAUGGCCGUACUGAUGCGUUGUUGUUACCUCCCUCCUAUCUGGCCUCUCUUCCCGGCGUGUGUUCUGGUCCGUCCUUGAACCUGUGUCGACUGGUUUCUAUGGAUCUCUACUCGUGUUUGUAGUGUUAUGAUUGCUCUGUAGCUACCGGAAGUAUUCUUGACGUUUGUAACCUUUCGUCCUUAGGUGCUCCAAGGCGACGGUUGGUGACGGUCGUGAAGUUCUUGCUUGGUCAAUAGGUCUUCAUGGUUCCGUCGGUGGCUCCAUCCGGUGCUGUGCACAUCCCAGUGCCUUGGCCUCCUCUUUGAUGCCAUGGUAGUGUUAGCGGCUCUUGCUUUCUUUCAGGUCUCCGAGCAGGUUCUGGUUCAUGCGCUGCGGCCAUCUCGUUCCUGACUUCUUGUUUUUCCGUUCUUGGUAUGGAGAUCUCUGUAUCUCUUGGCCUUGACCGGGUUGGCGCUGAUGAAGUUUGUAUAGCGGGAAUUGGAUCCAUUUUCAGGUUUGUGCUCUAAUUCCCUUCUUCGUUAGCGUUUGCGCGUAAGAAGGUAACGGUUAUAAGUUUCGAGGAGAUCAUCGAGACCUAGCUACUCCAAAAGGCGACACGGAAACUCCUGGCAUCCGAGGCAACGAGGAGAACCUCACUUUCUCUUGAUUAUCGUUGAUGGAAGAGAACAGGAAUCGAUUUCUAAUGUUUACUAAAAGCAUAUUAGCGGAACGUGUCGGGUUUAGUGGGUGGGCGAAGCUAGUUUGUAAUUCGUUAGACUAGGAAACUUUUGUUUGAAUCGAGUUUGUAACCGAAACUUAUUCCCGUUUUUCGGGCUGAUUUAUAAUAUAUGUUAUUUGAAAAAAAAAAUGGUAAUUAAUUUUAACAUGUUUACCGAAUAAAGAAAUUCAUUUCAUGAUGCACCGUAAUGUCUUAAAGCCACUCCAGUAGUAAACUUUGACUCAGCCAGUAAUGCAGUCUGGUUAAUUAUAAAAACGUAUCGUUCUUUUCCUGUUUGC
Molecule: long non-coding RNA, 2611 nt
Organism: Brassica oleracea var. oleracea
Lineage: Eukaryota; Viridiplantae; Streptophyta; Magnoliopsida; Brassicales; Brassicaceae
Exons: 3
Source: RefSeq, a predicted model, not a curated record